RNAcentral lists this ribosomal RNA (157 nucleotides) under uncultured bacterium. RNAcentral's name for it is "partial 16S ribosomal RNA". It matches the Rfam family "Bacterial small subunit ribosomal RNA", at positions 355 to 509 of the family's 1533-position model. The record is from RNAcentral.
UGAGGAAUAUUGGUCAAUGGCCGAAGGGCUGAACCAGCCAAGUCGCGUGAGGGAAGACGGCCCUACGGGUUGUAAACCUCUUUUGCCGGGGAGCAAAGGCGGUCACUGGUGACCGGAUGAGAGUACCCGGAGAAAAAGCAUUGGCUAACUCCGUGCC